RNAcentral lists this non-coding RNA (24 nucleotides) under Gossypium hirsutum (cotton). The record is from RNAcentral. Lineage: Eukaryota; Viridiplantae; Streptophyta; Magnoliopsida; Malvales; Malvaceae.
ACGUUAUGCCCUGAUCUAGAGGUG